Molecule: ribosomal RNA, 490 nt
Filed under: uncultured bacterium
Lineage: Bacteria
Description: partial 16S ribosomal RNA
Rfam family: Bacterial small subunit ribosomal RNA
Source: RNAcentral
AUUGAACGCUGGCGGCAGGCCUAACACAUGCAAGUCGAACGGUAACAGGAAACAGCUUGCUGUUUCGCUGACGAGUGGCGGACGGGUGAGUAAUGUCUGGGAAACUGCCUGAUGGAGGGGGAUAACUACUGGAAACGGUAGCUAAUACCGCAUAACGUCGCAAGACCAAAGAGGGGGACCUUCGGGCCUCUUGCCAUCGGAUGUGCCCAGAUGGGAUUAGCUAGUAGGUGGGGUAACGGCUCACUUAGGCGACGAUCCCUAGCUGGUCUGAGAGGAUGACCAGCCACACUGGAACUGAGACACGGUCCAGACUCCUACGGGAGGCAGCAGUGGGGAAUAUUGCACAAUGGGCGCAAGCCUGAUGCAGCCAUGCCGCGUGUAUGAAGAAGGCCUUCGGGUUGUAAAGUACUUUCAGCGGGGAUGAAGGGAGUAAAGUUAAUACCUUAGCUCAUUGACGUUACCCGCAGAAGAAGCACCGGCUAACUCCGUG